RNAcentral lists this unclassified non-coding RNA (628 nucleotides) under Hevea brasiliensis (rubber tree). Lineage: Eukaryota; Viridiplantae; Streptophyta; Magnoliopsida; Malpighiales; Euphorbiaceae. The record is from RNAcentral.
AAAAUGAUUAGUGUAUUUAUAUAUUGAGUUAAUGGUGAACCAUGUUAGGCAAAAUUUUUCCAUAUAAACUUAUGCAUUUACUAAAUUAUUAUGGAACGGUUGCAAGAAGUCAGAAAAAAGUAAUUACCCCAGUAAUUUUUAAUCUCUUAUUAUACUUGUUUAGAUGCCAAUAAGAAGUUAUUUUUUUUAAUAAAUAAGAGUUUGGAUUAAUUUUAAACAUAGUUAAUAUUUAUAUUUGAUAUUUUAUUUUUUAAUUAUUUCUUCAAUUAAUAAAACAAGAAAAAUAGGAGAAUAAUAAAAUAAAUAAGAAUAAGAAUUCUCUUCUCCCAUCAAAAAGAUAUCAUCUCAUAGUUAUCUAUAAUUGUUUGUCUCUAGCAUGACCACUUGAUUUAAUAUAGAGAAAAGUACUAUUGAAAGAAUUCCACUUUGGAUAGUAGGUACUGUAAAUGAUAUUCUUGUAAUCAGUUUACUAGAUAUUUUUUUUAUGGUUUAUAUUUUAGAUUGGGUUCAUCCCUAUAAAUAAUCGAGUAAAUUGAGUUGUAGAUAUAAAAAUAUAAGAACUUAAUGGACCUUUUUUUUUUUCUUUGUCUGAUUUGAUGGGGUCUUUUUAAUAAUCAUAAUACUUUAU